This 77-nucleotide transfer RNA is filed under the name Caudoviricetes sp. Its description in RNAcentral is "tRNA-Leu". It matches the Rfam family "tRNA". From Rfam's summary of the family: Transfer RNA (tRNA) molecules are approximately 80 nucleotides in length. Lineage: Duplodnaviria; Heunggongvirae; Uroviricota; Caudoviricetes. The record is from RNAcentral.
GGCACACUAGUCCAACAGGCAGAGACAAACGACUUAAAAUCGUUGCAGUAUCAGUUCGAAUCUGAUGUGUGCCACCA